UUAGUGUGUUGUGAUUGCGC
RNAcentral lists this non-coding RNA (20 nucleotides) under Arabidopsis thaliana (thale cress). The record is from RNAcentral. Lineage: Eukaryota; Viridiplantae; Streptophyta; Magnoliopsida; Brassicales; Brassicaceae.